RNAcentral lists this ribosomal RNA (253 nucleotides) under uncultured bacterium. RNAcentral describes it as "partial 16S ribosomal RNA". It matches the Rfam family "Bacterial small subunit ribosomal RNA", at positions 524 to 776 of the family's 1533-position model. The record is from RNAcentral.
UACGAAGGGUGCAAGCGUUGUUCGGAUUUAUUGGGCGUAAAGCGAGCGCAGGCGGGUGAGUGUGUCAGGGGUGAAAUCUCGGAGCUCAACUCCGAACGUGCGCCUGAAACUGCUUAUCUAGAAUGCUGGAGGGGGAAGGGGAAUUUCACGUGUAGGGGUAAAAUCCGUAGAGAUGUGAAGGAACACCGGAGGCGAAGGCGCCUUCCUGGCCAGAUAUUGACGCUGAGGCUCGAAAGCGUGGGGAGCAAACAGG